UGGGGAAUAUUGGGCAAUGGGCGAAAGCCUGACCCAGCAACGCCGCGUGAGGGAAGAAGGUUUUCGGAUUGUAAAGCUCUGUUGAGAGGGACGAGAGAUUACUUCAGGAAAUGGGAGUAAGAGGACGGUACCUUUCGAGGAAGCCACGGCUAACUACGUGCCAGCAGCCGCGGUAAUACGUAGGGGGCGAGCGUUGUUCGGAAUCAUUGGGCGUAAAGGGUGCGCAGGUGGCCGAUCAAGUCUGGCGUGAAAGUGCGGGGCUCAACUCCGUGAUGCGCUGGAAACUGGCCGGCUAGAGUACAGCAGGGGGCGUCGGAAUUCCAGGUGUAGGGGUGAAAUCUGUAGAUAUCUGGAAGAACACCGGUGGCGAAGGCGGACGCCUGGGCAUGUACUGACACUGAGGCACGAAGGUGCGGGGAGCAAACAGGUUUAGAUACCCUGGUAGU
RNAcentral lists this ribosomal RNA (446 nucleotides) under uncultured Spirochaeta sp. RNAcentral describes it as "bacterial SSU rRNA". It matches the Rfam family "Bacterial small subunit ribosomal RNA", at positions 355 to 794 of the family's 1533-position model. Lineage: Bacteria; Pseudomonadati; Spirochaetota; Spirochaetia; Spirochaetales; Spirochaetaceae. The record is from RNAcentral.